UCUUUAUAAGUACUUUUUCAUCGGAGACUUUUUUCUUCUUGUUUUGGUAAACUUGGUAAUCCGGGCCAAUGCAACCAACCUUGGUACUCGUAAACCAGUUUGAGGAAAUUAAGAUACGUGUACGAAUUUCUAAAUUGUAGUGACUAGAGAAAUCACGAAUUAUGGUCUGAUCUCUUAUGUAAACUACAAAUACAAAUACAAAAAAAAAAAGAA
This 213-nucleotide long non-coding RNA is filed under the name Capsella rubella. RNAcentral describes it as "long non-coding RNA (CRUB_LNC003636)". Lineage: Eukaryota; Viridiplantae; Streptophyta; Magnoliopsida; Brassicales; Brassicaceae. The record is from RNAcentral.